RNAcentral lists this ribosomal RNA (403 nucleotides) under Verrucomicrobiota bacterium. RNAcentral's name for it is "Verrucomicrobia bacterium partial 16S ribosomal RNA". It matches the Rfam family "Bacterial small subunit ribosomal RNA", at positions 355 to 776 of the family's 1533-position model. Lineage: Bacteria; Pseudomonadati; Verrucomicrobiota. The record is from RNAcentral.
UGGGGAAUAUUGCACAAUGGGCGCAAGCCUGAUGCAGCGACGCCGCGUGAGCGAAGAAGGUUUUCGAAUCGUAAAGCUCUGUCCUAUGAGAAGAUAAUGACGGUAUCAUAGGAGGAAGCCCCGGCUAAAUACGUGCCAGCAGCCGCGGUAAUACGUAUGGGGCGAGCGUUGUCCGGAAUUAUUGGGCGUAAAGGGUACGUAGGCGGUCUAUUAAGUCAGGUGUGAAAGCGUGAGGCUUAACCUCAUUAAGCACUUGAAACUGAUAGACUUGAGUGAAGGAGAGGAAAGUGGAAUUCCUAGUGUAGCGGUGAAAUGCGUAGAUAUUAGGAGGAAUACCGGUGGCGAAGGCGACUUUCUGGACUUUUACUGACGCUCAGGUACGAAAGCGUGGGGAGCAAACAGG